This 515-nucleotide ribosomal RNA is filed under the name uncultured archaeon. Its description in RNAcentral is "bacterial SSU rRNA". It matches the Rfam family "Archaeal small subunit ribosomal RNA", at positions 345 to 859 of the family's 1478-position model. The record is from RNAcentral.
AACCUUUACACUGCACGACAGUGCGAUAAGGGAAUCCCAAGUGCGUAGGCAUAGAGCCUACGCUUUUGUCCACCGUAGGGAGGUGGACGAAUAAGGGCUGGGCAAGACCGGUGCCAGCCGCCGCGGUAAUACCGGCAGCCCGAGUGAUGGCCGAUCUUAUUGGGCCUAAAGCGUCCGUAGCUGGCCGCACAAGUCCAUCGGAAAAUCCACCCGCUCAACGGGUGGGCGUCCGGUGGAAACUGUGUGGCUUGGGACCGGAAGGCGCGACGGGUACGCCCGGGGUAGGAGUGAAAUCCCGUAAUCCUGGACGGACCGCCGAUGGCGAAAGCACGUCGCGAGAACGGAUCCGACAGUGAGGGACGAAAGCUAGGGUCUCGAACCGGAUUAGAUACCCGGGUAGUCCUAGCCGUAAACAAUGCCUGCUAGGUGUGGCUCCCACUACGAGUGGGUGCUGUGCCGUAGGGAAGCCGCUAAGCAGGCCGCCUGGGAAGUACGUCCGCAAGGAUGAAACUUAA